RNAcentral lists this ribosomal RNA (458 nucleotides) under uncultured bacterium. RNAcentral's name for it is "bacterial SSU rRNA". It matches the Rfam family "Bacterial small subunit ribosomal RNA", at positions 28 to 487 of the family's 1533-position model. The record is from RNAcentral.
GACGAACGCUGGCGGCGUGCCUAACACAUGCAAGUCAACUUGACUGAAGGAGCAAUCUGACAGUAGAGUGGCGCAAGGGUGCGUAACGCGUAAGUAACUUGCCCAAGGUAAGGAAUAACGUCGAGAAAUCGGCGCUAAUACCUCAUAAUGCAGCGGAUCCGCAUGGAUAUGUUGUUAAAGGUUUACCGCCUUGGGAUAGGCUUGCGUCUGAUUAGCUAGUUGGUGUGGUAACGGCACACCAAGGCUACGAUCAGUAACUGGUCUGAGAGGAUGAUCAGUCACACUGGAACUGAGACACGGUCCAGACUCCUACGGGAGGCAGCAGUGAGGAAUAUUGGGCAAUGCUCGAAAGAGUGACCCAGCAACGCCGCGUGGAGGAUGAAGGUAUUCUAUAUCGUAAACUCCUGUGAGAGCAGACGAAAGACAGAUUAUAAUCUGGAUGACUGUAUGCUCAGAGG